UUCCGGUUGAUCCUGCCGGACCUGACUGCUAUCGGAUUGAUACUAAGCCAUGCGAGUCAUUGUAGCAAUACAAGGCAGACGGCUCAGUAACGCGUAGUCAAUCUACCCUAUGGACGGGAAUAACCUCGGGAAACUGAGAAUAAUGCCCGAUAGAACAUUAUGCCUGGAAUGGUUUAUGUUUCAAAUGAUUUAUCGCCAUAGGAUGGGACUGCGGCCUAUCAGUUUGUUGGUGAGGUAAUGGCCCACCAAGACUAUUACAGGUACGGGCUCUGAGAGGAGUAGCCCGGAGAUGGGUACUGAGACACGGACCCAGGCCCUAUGGGGCGCAGCAGGCGAGAAAACUUUGCAAUGUGCGAAAGCACGACAAGGUUAAUCCGAGUGGUUUCUGCUAAAGAAACCUUUUGUCAGUCCUAGAAACACUAACGAAUAAGGGGUGGGCAAGUUCUGGUGUCAGCCGCCGCGGUAAAACCAGCACCUCAAGUGGUCAGGAUGAUUAUUGGGCCUAAAGCAUCCGUAGCUCGUUUUGUAAGUUUUCGGUUAAAUCCAUGCGCUUAACGUAUGGGCUGCCGGGAAUACUGCAUAACUAGGAAGUGGGAGAGGUAGACGGUACUCGGGAGGAAGGGGUAAAAUCCUUUGAUCUCUUGAUGACCACCUGUGGCGAAGGCGGUCUACCAGAACACGUUCGACGGUGAGGAAUGAAAGCUGGGGGAGCAAACCGGAUUAGAUACCCGGGUAGUCCCAGCUGUAAACUAUGCAAACUCAGUGAUGCAUUGGCUUAUGGCCAAUGCAGUGCUGCAGGGAAGCCGUUAAGUUUGCCGCCUGGGAAGUACGUACGCAAGUAUGAAACUUAAAGGAAUUGGCGGGGGAGCACCACAA
RNAcentral lists this ribosomal RNA (876 nucleotides) under uncultured Nitrososphaerota archaeon. RNAcentral's name for it is "bacterial SSU rRNA". It matches the Rfam family "Archaeal small subunit ribosomal RNA", at positions 1 to 884 of the family's 1478-position model. Lineage: Archaea; Thermoproteati; Nitrososphaerota. The record is from RNAcentral.